UCCCGCUUAUCACGGGCAGUUUCCUUAGAGUGCCCACCAUGACGUGCUGGUAACUAAGGACGAGGGUUGCGCUCGUUGCGGGACUUAACCCAACAUCUCACGACACGAGCUGACGACAGCCAUGCAACACCUGUCUUCCCUCCGGCCGAACCGAAGAGGCUCUAUUACAAGCCUCCGUAAGGGAGAUGUCAAAAGGUGGUAAGGUUUUUCGCGUAGCAUCGAAUUAAACCACAUGCUCCACCGCUUGUGCGGGUCCCCGUCAAUUCCUUUGAGUUUUAAUCUUGCGACCGUACUCCCCAGGCGGGGUGCUUAACGCGUUAGCUACGACACCGAAGCAUAAAGCCCCGAUAUCUAGCACCCAUCGUUUACGGCGUGGACUAC
This 381-nucleotide unclassified non-coding RNA is filed under the name uncultured Rickettsiales bacterium. RNAcentral describes it as "contains 16S-23S intergenic spacer region". Lineage: Bacteria; Pseudomonadati; Pseudomonadota; Alphaproteobacteria; Rickettsiales. The record is from RNAcentral.